Molecule: ribosomal RNA, 492 nt
Filed under: uncultured bacterium
Lineage: Bacteria
Description: partial 16S ribosomal RNA
Rfam family: Bacterial small subunit ribosomal RNA
Source: RNAcentral
AGUGAACGCUGGCGGUAGGCCUAACACAUGCAAGUCGAACGGCAGCACAGUAAGAGCUUGCUCUUACGGGUGGCGAGUGGCGGACGGGUGAGGAAUAUAUCGGAAUCUACUUUUUCGUGGGGGAUAACGUAGGGAAACUUACGCUAAUACCGCAUACGACCUACGGGUGAAAGCAGUGGAUCUUCUGACCUUGCGCGAUUGAAUGAGCCGAUGUCGGAUUAGCUGGUUGGCGGGGUAAAGGCCCACCCAGGCGAGGAUCCGUAGCUGGUCUGAGAGGAUGAUCAGCCGCACUGGAGCUGGGACACGGUCCUGGCUACUACGGGAGGCAGCAGUGGGGAAUAUUGGACAAUGGUCGCAAGCCUGAUCCAGCCAUACCGAGUGGGUGAAGAAGGCCUUCGGGUUGUAAAGCCCUUUUGUUGGGAAAGAAAAGCAGCAGGUUGAUACCCCGCUGUUCUGACGGUAACCAAAGAAUAAGCACCGGCUAACUUCGUG